RNAcentral lists this ribosomal RNA (433 nucleotides) under uncultured bacterium. RNAcentral's name for it is "partial 16S ribosomal RNA". It matches the Rfam family "Bacterial small subunit ribosomal RNA", at positions 29 to 507 of the family's 1533-position model. The record is from RNAcentral.
AACGAACGCUGGCGGCAUGCCUAACACAUGCAAGUCGAACGAGACCUUCGGGUCUAGUGGCGCACGGGUGCGUAACGCGUGGGAACCUGCCCUUAGGUUCGGAAUAACUCCCCGAAAGGGGUGCUAAUACCGGAUAAUGUCUUCGGACCAAAGAUUUAUCGCCUUUGGAUGGGCCCGCGUUGGAUUAGCUAGUUGGUAGGGUAAAAGCCUACCAAGGCGACGAUCCAUAGCUGGUCUGAGAGGAUGAUCAGCCACACUGGGACUGAGACACGGCCCAGACUCCUACGGGAGGCAGCAGUGGGGAAUAUUGGACAAUGGGCGAAGGCAUGAUCCAGCAAUGCCGCGUGAGUGAUGAAGGCCUUAGGGUUGUAAAGCUCUUUUACCCAGGAUGAUAAUGACAGUACCGGGAGAAUAAGCUCCGGCUAACUCCGUG